RNAcentral lists this ribosomal RNA (801 nucleotides) under uncultured Campylobacter sp. RNAcentral describes it as "bacterial SSU rRNA". It matches the Rfam family "Bacterial small subunit ribosomal RNA", at positions 533 to 1326 of the family's 1533-position model. The record is from RNAcentral. Lineage: Bacteria; Pseudomonadati; Campylobacterota; Epsilonproteobacteria; Campylobacterales; Campylobacteraceae.
UGCAAGCGUUACUCGGAAUCACUGGGCGUAAAGGGCGCGUAGGCGGAUUAUCAAGUCUCUUGUGAAAUCUAAUGGCUUAACCAUUAAACUGCUUGGGAAACUGAUAGUCUAGAGUGAGGGAGAGGCAGAUGGAAUUGGUGGUGUAGGGGUAAAAUCCGUAGAUAUCACCAAGAAUACCCAUUGCGAAGGCGAUCUGCUGGAACUCAACUGACGCUAAGGCGCGAAAGCGUGGGGAGCAAACAGGAUUAGAUACCCUGGUAGUCCACGCCCUAAACGAUGUACACUAGUUGUUGGGGUGCUAGUCAUCUCAGUAAUGCAGCUAACGCAUUAAGUGUACCGCCUGGGGAGUACGGUCGCAAGAUUAAAACUCAAAGGAAUAGACGGGGACCCGCACAAGCGGUGGAGCAUGUGGUUUAAUUCGAAGAUACGCGAAGAACCUUACCUGGGCUUGAUAUCCUAAGAACCUUAUAGAGAUAUGAGGGUGCUAGCUUGCUAGAACUUAGAGACAGGUGCUGCACGGCUGUCGUCAGCUCGUGUCGUGAGAUGUUGGGUUAAGUCCCGCAACGAGCGCAACCCACGUAUUUAGUUGCUAACGGUUCGGCCGAGCACUCUAAAUAGACUGCCUUCGUAAGGAGGAGGAAGGUGUGGACGACGUCAAGUCAUCAUGGCCCUUAUGCCCAGGGCGACACACGUGCUACAAUGGCAUAUACAAUGAGACGCAAUACCGCGAGGUGGAGCAAAUCUAUAAAAUAUGUCCCAGUUCGGAUUGUUCUCUGCAACUUCGGAGGAGCCAAUGGAAGC